CAAAAACAUGUCUUUUUGAUUAUAAUUUAAAGUCGAAUCUGCCCACUGAUUAAUAAUUAAAGGGCUGCAGUAUAUUGACUGUACAAAGGUAGCAUAAUCAUUAGUCUUUUAAUUGAAGACUUGUAUGAAAGAUUUGAUGAAAUAUAAACUGUCUCUUAUUUAUAAUUAAAAUUUAAUUUUUUAGUAAAAAAGCUAAAAUAUAUUUAAAAGACGAGAAGACCCUAUAGAGUUUUAUAAUUAUUUUAAUUAAUUAUUUUUAUAAAUUUAAAUUAAAAAUUAAUUUAAUUAUUUGAUUGGGGUGAUUGAAAAAUUAAAUUAACUUUUUUUAUAGAUAAACAUUAAUUAAUGAAUAAAUGAUCCAUAAUUUAUGAUUAUAAGAAUAAAUUACCUUAGGGAUAACAGCGUAAUUUUUUUUUUUAGUUCUUAUAAGAAAAAGAGUUUGCGACCUCGAUGUUGGAUUAAGAUAAAAUUUAAAUGUAGAGGUUUAAAAUUUUUGAUCUGUUCGAUCAUUAAAAUCUUA
Molecule: ribosomal RNA, 520 nt
Filed under: Telicota ancilla
Lineage: Eukaryota; Metazoa; Arthropoda; Insecta; Lepidoptera; Hesperiidae
Description: partial 16S ribosomal RNA
Source: RNAcentral